UAACGAUUAAAAAACUACAAAAAAAUUUAAAUAUUCUCAACUUUUCGAAAAAUCAUCCCUAUCUACAAUUUUAUCCGCUUCAAGUCCUUUUGGACGUUUAGUAUUUUGCUACUAGGUAGUACUCUCUACAAACAGUCAACAUGUGCUGCGGAGGUUGUUGCGGUGGAUGCUGCUGCGGUGGCUGCUGCUGCCCAUGCAUCACCAUCUACACAUGCUGCACCAAGAUCUGCUGAUGCUUCUAUCAAAACCCGUGUUGUGUGGAUGUCAUAUUCUCACAAGUGUUGUUGCGUAAAAUAAAUUAUGUAUUAAGCUUA
Leguminivora glycinivorella is the source of this 314-nucleotide long non-coding RNA. RefSeq lists it as uncharacterized. The record is from RefSeq and is a predicted model, not a curated record. The transcript has 2 exons. NCBI's taxonomy places the organism in Eukaryota, Metazoa, Arthropoda, Insecta, Lepidoptera, Tortricidae.